This 253-nucleotide non-coding RNA is filed under the name uncultured bacterium. RNAcentral describes it as "partial 16S ribosomal RNA". It matches the Rfam family "Bacterial small subunit ribosomal RNA", at positions 524 to 776 of the family's 1533-position model. RNAcentral also lists the same sequence under 1 other name. The record is from RNAcentral.
UACAGAGACUGCAAGCGUUACUCGGAUUCACUGGGCGUAAAGGGAGCGCAGGCGGAUUGGUGUGUCAGGCGUGAAAUCCCGGGGCUCAACCCCGGGGCUGCGCCCGAAACUACCAAUCUAGAGACUUGGAGGGGUAAGCGGAAUUCUUGGUGGAGCAGUGAAAUGCGUAGAUAUCAAGAGGAACACCAACGGCGAAGGCAGCUUACUGGACAAGAUCUGACGCUCAGGCUCGAAAGCGUGGGGAGCAAAAGGG